Molecule: ribosomal RNA, 1731 nt
Filed under: Staphylococcus aureus
Lineage: Bacteria; Bacillati; Bacillota; Bacilli; Caryophanales; Staphylococcaceae
Description: partial 23S ribosomal RNA
Rfam family: Bacterial large subunit ribosomal RNA
Source: RNAcentral
UUACCGAAGCUGUGGAUUGUCCUUUGGACAAUGGUAGGAGAGCGUUCUAAGGGCGUUGAAGCAUGAUCGUAAGGACAUGUGGAGCGCUUAGAAGUGAGAAUGCCGGUGUGAGUAGCGAAAGACGGGUGAGAAUCCCGUCCACCGAUUGACUAAGGUUUCCAGAGGAAGGCUCGUCCGCUCUGGGUUAGUCGGGUCCUAAGCUGAGGCCGACAGGCGUAGGCGAUGGAUAACAGGUUGAUAUUCCUGUACCACCUAUAAUCGUUUUAAUCGAUGGGGGGACGCAGUAGGAUAGGCGAAGCGUGCGAUUGGAUUGCACGUCUAAGCAGUAAGGCUGGGUAUUAGGCAAAUCCGGUACUCGUUAAGGCUGAGCUGUGAUGGGGAGAAGACAUUGUGUCUUCGAGUCGUUGAUUUCACACUGCCGAGAAAAGCCUCUAGAUAGAAAAUAGGUGCCCGUACCGCAAACCGACACAGGUAGUCAAGAUGAGAAUUCUAAGGUGAGCGAGCGAACUCUCGUUAAGGAACUCGGCAAAAUGACCCCGUAACUUCGGGAGAAGGGGUGCUCUUUAGGGUUAACGCCCAGAAGAGCCGCAGUGAAUAGGCCCAAGCGACUGUUUAUCAAAAACACAGGUCUCUGCUAAACCGUAAGGUGAUGUAUAGGGGCUGACGCCUGCCCGGUGCUGGAAGGUUAAGAGGAGUGGUUAGCUUCUGCGAAGCUACGAAUCGAAGCCCCAGUAAACGGCGGCCGUAACUAUAACGGUCCUAAGGUAGCGAAAUUCCUUGUCGGGUAAGUUCCGACCCGCACGAAAGGCGUAACGAUUUGGGCACUGUCUCAACGAGAGACUCGGUGAAAUCAUAGUACCUGUGAAGAUGCAGGUUACCCGCGACAGGACGGAAAGACCCCGUGGAGCUUUACUGUAGCCUGAUAUUGAAAUUCGGCACAGCUUGUACAGGAUAGGUAGGAGCCUUUGAAACGUGAGCGCUAGCUUACGUGGAGGCGCUGGUGGGAUACUACCCUAGCUGUGUUGGCUUUCUAACCCGCACCACUUAUCGUGGUGGGAGACAGUGUCAGGCGGGCAGUUUGACUGGGGCGGUCGCCUCCUAAAAGGUAACGGAGGCGCUCAAAGGUUCCCUCAGAAUGGUUGGAAAUCAUUCAUAGAGUGUAAAGGCAUAAGGGAGCUUGACUGCGAGACCUACAAGUCGAGCAGGGUCGAAAGACGGACUUAGUGAUCCGGUGGUUCCGCAUGGAAGGGCCAUCGCUCAACGGAUAAAAGCUACCCCGGGGAUAACAGGCUUAUCUCCCCCAAGAGUUCACAUCGACGGGGAGGUUUGGCACCUCGAUGUCGGCUCAUCGCAUCCUGGGGCUGUAGUCGGUCCCAAGGGUUGGGCUGUUCGCCCAUUAAAGCGGUACGCGAGCUGGGUUCAGAACGUCGUGAGACAGUUCGGUCCCUAUCCGUCGUGGGCGUAGGAAAUUUGAGAGGAGCUGUCCUUAGUACGAGAGGACCGGGAUGGACAUACCUCUGGUGUACCAGUUGUCGUGCCAACGGCAUAGCUGGGUAGCUAUGUGUGGACGGGAUAAGUGCUGAAAGCAUCUAAGCAUGAAGCCCCCCUCAAGAUGAGAUUUCCCAACUUCGGUUAUAAGAUCCCUCAAAGAUGAUGAGGUUAAUAGGUUCGAGGUGGAAGCAUGGUGACAUGUGGAGCUGACGAAUACUAAUCGAUCGAAGACUUAAUCAA